CGUGUACAAAUAAGUCAGAAGUUGCCAGACAUUUGUUUAUUUUUAAAUUAAACUAUGCACAAAAAUCUACUAUAAUUAGCCAAAGAUCCAAGAAUUCUACUUUACUUGGACAGACCUCGAAAAGACCCAACAAUAUCUCAAAGAAAUUAGCAAUUUGAACUAUCUUCUCUGGUAAUUUGAAUUAUCUUCAUAAUGAUCGAUAAACUUACAAUAUCUUAUUUUGUUUGUUGCACGAUAGGAAUUAUUAUAAAUGGAGUUGGGCUAGUUAUUUUAUCAAACUUAAAGAAUGGCGGACUUGAUAUAACACAACGAUACGUUCUUAUAAACUUAUGCUUCAUUGAAUUAAUCAUGAGCGCUCUUCUUACAAUUAGAGGAGCACUUUUUGUAAUCAAUCUACAUAUUUCGAUAUAUUGGAAAAUUCUUAAUGUGUUCAUUUGUAUCGUAAAUACAGAGUAUUACUAUGCCACGUUUUGGUUAGUAUUCGACAGGUUUUUGCAUAUAAGGUUAAACAUAAAAUAUGUAAUCUACUGGUCAAAAAAGAAGACAAUAAUAGCGACAAUUAUUUCAUGGAUUAUUGCAGCGUUGAGUGGAAGUUUACUAGCAGUAUACAAUUUGGAGUUGUUUGCUAUUGUAUAUGUAGUCUUUGAUUUAAUUAUUCUCCUGUUUUCUGGCUGUAUUUAUGCUUACGCUUUACUAAUUUUUAAGAAACGUAGAAAAAAUGUUCGUUCUAAUCAAAAUCAACGAGGUAUAUAUAAAGGAUUGUUACUUUCGUUUUUUAUACUUGCAACGUUUACUUUGUUAGUUGCAAUACCGGACAUAAUAUGGAUGUUAGCUUAUGUGUUCAACAACAUUGAUAAAAACGUUAAAAAAUAUGUCACGUUGUACGCGUGGAUAGUUUUCCCGAUUUCAUUUUGGAGUGAUGCUUUAAUAUAUAUAUGUUUCUCUCGUAACGUUAGAACAGCGUUUAAAAGAGAGAGAACAAGAAAAGAAAGUAUUUUUUUAUUGUUAGAUUAGAAGAUCACUUCUGAAAAACAUAAAACGGUCAAAAUAAUUCAAAAAACUUUGUUUUUACGUUAACUUUUUUUUUUUUUUUUUUACAUAUAUAUUUAUUUUACAUAUUUUUUUACAUGUUAAAAAAUGUAAUACAUAUGUAAAUACCAAAAAAAGUAAUUACUAUAAAGUUGUAAAUACUACGUAAAUCUAAAAUAUGCAAACACUACGAUACAUAUAGUAUUUACAAUUUUUUACAAUAUAUCAAACUUUUACGAUAAAUAUAGCUAAAGACACUUUUAAUACAAUAAGAAACAUCACAAUAUUUACUACAUAUUUAAAAUAUCAAAAUAUUUAUUACAUAUUUGAAAUAAUAAAAUAUUUAUUAUAACGUGUUUGGAAAACGAAAAAUGUUACAAUUUAUAUUAUGUAAAAAUAGAAAAAGUUUUUAUAUUGUCG
Non-coding RNA from Hydra vulgaris (swiftwater hydra), 1449 nucleotides. Lineage: Eukaryota; Metazoa; Cnidaria; Hydrozoa; Anthoathecata; Hydridae. The record is from RefSeq and is a predicted model, not a curated record.